RNAcentral lists this ribosomal RNA (354 nucleotides) under uncultured soil bacterium. RNAcentral describes it as "bacterial SSU rRNA". It matches the Rfam family "Bacterial small subunit ribosomal RNA", at positions 26 to 375 of the family's 1533-position model. The record is from RNAcentral.
AGGACGAACGCUGGCGGCGUGCUUAACACAUGCAAGUCGAGCGAGGCCCCUUCUUCGGGAGGGUGUUCUAGCGGCGAACGGGUGAGUAACACGUGGGCAACCUGCCCUCAGCUCUGGGAUAACUCCAAGAAAUUGGGGCUAAUACCGGAUAUGACCGCUGACCGCAUGGUCUGGUGGUGGAAAGAUUUAUCGGCUGGGGGAUCGGGCCCGCGGCCUAUCAGCUUGGUUGGUGGGGUAGUGGCCUACCAAGGCGACGACGGGUAGCCGGCCUGAGAGGGUGACCGGGCCACACUGGGACUGAGACACGGCCCAGACUCCUACGGGAGGCAGCAGUGGGGAAUAUUGCGCAAUGGG